AACGAACGCUGGCGGCAUGCCUAACACAUGCAAGUCGAACGAUACCUUCGGGUCUAGUGGCUCACGGGUUCGUAACGCGUGGGAACCUUCCCUUAGGUUCGGAAUAACUCCCCGAAAGGUGUGCUAAUACCGGAUAAUGUCUUCUGACCAAAGAUUUAUCGCCUUUGGAUGGGCCCGCGUUGGAUUAGCUAGUUGGUAGGGUAAAAGCCUACCAAGGCGAGGAUCCAUAGCUGGUCUGAGAGGAUGAUCAGCCACACUGGGACUGAGACACGGCCCAGACUGCUACGGGAGGGAGAAGUGGGGAAUAUUGGAAAAUGGGCGAAAGCCUGAUGAAGCAAUGACGCGUGAGUGAUGAAGGGCUUAGGGUUGUAAAGCUCUUUUACCCGGGAUGAUAAUGACAGUACCGGGAGAAUAAGCACCGGCUAACUCCGUG
This 433-nucleotide ribosomal RNA is filed under the name uncultured bacterium. RNAcentral describes it as "partial 16S ribosomal RNA". It matches the Rfam family "Bacterial small subunit ribosomal RNA", at positions 29 to 507 of the family's 1533-position model. The record is from RNAcentral.